This 509-nucleotide ribosomal RNA is filed under the name uncultured bacterium. Its description in RNAcentral is "bacterial SSU rRNA". It matches the Rfam family "Bacterial small subunit ribosomal RNA", at positions 15 to 518 of the family's 1533-position model. The record is from RNAcentral.
GAUCCUGGCUUAGGAUGAACGCUAGCGGCAGGCUUAACACAUGCAAGUCGAGGGGCAACGCGAGUAGCAAUACUUGGCGGCGACCGGCGCAAGGGUGCGUAACGCGUGAGCAACAUGCCCGUAUCAGGGGGAUAAUCCAGGGAAACUUGGUCUAAUACCCCAUAGUAAUUUUGUAAGGCAUCUUAUAAGAUUUAAAGCUUUGGUGGAUACGGAUUGGCUCGCGUGACAUUAGCUGGAUGGUAAGGUAACGGCUUACCAUGGCUAUGAUGUCUAGGGGUUCUGAGAGGAAGGUCCCCCACACUGGAACUGAGACACGGUCCAGACUCCUACGGGAGGCAGCAGUGAGGAAUAUUGGACAAUGGAUGGAAAUCUGAUCCAGCCAUGCCGCGUGAAAGGAAGAAGGUCCUAUGGAUUGUAAACUUCUUUUGUAUGGGAGCAAUAAGGCCUACGAGUAGGUUGAUGAGAGUACCAUACGAAUAAGCACCGGCUAACUCCGUGCCAGCAGCAGC